Molecule: ribosomal RNA, 253 nt
Filed under: uncultured bacterium
Lineage: Bacteria
Description: partial 16S ribosomal RNA
Rfam family: Bacterial small subunit ribosomal RNA
Source: RNAcentral
UACGUAGGAUCCAAGCGUUGUCCGGAUUUACUGGGCGUAAAGGGUGCGCAGGCGGACUUAUAAGUCAGAGGUGAAAUCUCACUGCUCAACAGUGAAACUGCCUUUGAUACUGUAGGUCUUGAAUUGGGGAGAGAUUCGUGGAAUUCCGAGUGUAGCAGUGAAAUGUGUAGAUAUUCGGAAGAACACCAGUGGCGAAGGCAGCGAAUUGGCCCUAUAUUGACGCUCAGGCACGAAAGCAUGGGGAUCAAACAGG